GGCGGCGUGCUUAACACAUGCAAGUCGAACGAUGAACCACUUCGGUGGGGAUUAGUGGCGAACGGGUGAGUAACACGUGGGCAAUCUGCCCUGCACUCUGGGACAAGCCCUGGAAACGGGGUCUAAUACCGGAUACUGACCCUCGCGGGCAUCUGCGAGGUUCGAAAGCUCCGGCGGUGCAGGAUGAGCCCGCGGCCUAUCAGCUUGUUGGUGAGGUAAUGGCUCACCAAGGCGACGACGGGUAGCCGGCCUGAGAGGGCGACCGGCCACACUGGGACUGAGACACGGCCCAGACUCCUACGGGAGGCAGCAGUGGGGAAUAUUGCACAAUGGGCGAAAGCCUGAUGCAGCGACGCCGCGUGAGGGAUGACGGCCUUCGGGUUGUAAACCUCUUUCAGCAGGGAAGAAGCGAAAGUGACGGUACCUGCAGAAGAAGCGCCGGCUAACUACGUGCCAGCAGCCGCGGUAAUACGUAGGGCGCAAGCGUUGUCCGGAAUUAUUGGGCGUAAAGAGCUCGUAGGCGGCUUGUCACGUCGGUUGUGAAAGCCCGGGGCUUAACCCCGGGUCUGCAGUCGAUACGGGCAGGCUAGAGUUCGGUAGGGGAGAUCGGAAUUCCUGGUGUAGCGGUGAAAUGCGCAGAUAUCAGGAGGAACACCGGUGGCGAAGGCGGAUCUCUGGGCCGAUACUGACGCUGAGGAGCGAAA
RNAcentral lists this ribosomal RNA (704 nucleotides) under Streptomyces albogriseolus. RNAcentral describes it as "bacterial SSU rRNA". It matches the Rfam family "Bacterial small subunit ribosomal RNA", at positions 38 to 758 of the family's 1533-position model. Lineage: Bacteria; Bacillati; Actinomycetota; Actinomycetes; Kitasatosporales; Streptomycetaceae. The record is from RNAcentral.